RNAcentral lists this ribosomal RNA (456 nucleotides) under uncultured bacterium. Its description in RNAcentral is "bacterial SSU rRNA". It matches the Rfam family "Bacterial small subunit ribosomal RNA", at positions 335 to 784 of the family's 1533-position model. The record is from RNAcentral.
ACUCCUACGGGAGGCAGCAGUGGGAAGUAUUGCACAAUGGGGGAAACCCUGAUGCAGCCAUGCCGCGUGUGUGAAGAAGGCCUUCGGGUUGUAAAGCACUUUCAGUAGGGAGGAAGGUAGUGUAGUUAACACCUGCAUUAUUUGACGUUACCUACAGAAGAAGCACCGGCUAACUCCGUGCCAGCAGCCGCGGUAAUACGGAGGGUGCGAGCGUUAAUCGGAAUUACUGGGCGUAAAGCGCAUGCAGGCGGCCUGUUAAGUCAGAUGUGAAAGCCCGGGGCUUAACCUCGGAAUUGCAUUUGAAACUGGCAGGCUAGAGUCUUGUAGAGGGGGGUAGAAUUUCAGGUGUAGCGGUGAAAUGCGUAGAGAUCUGAAGGAUACCAGUGGCGAAGGCGGCCCCCUGGACAAAGACUGACGCUCAGAUGCGAAAGCGUGGGGAGCAAACAGGAUUAGAUA